RNAcentral lists this ribosomal RNA (437 nucleotides) under uncultured Planctomycetota bacterium. Its description in RNAcentral is "bacterial SSU rRNA". It matches the Rfam family "Bacterial small subunit ribosomal RNA", at positions 383 to 810 of the family's 1533-position model. The record is from RNAcentral. Lineage: Bacteria; Pseudomonadati; Planctomycetota.
GUGACGAAGCGACGCCGCGUGGGUGAGGAAGGCCUUCGGGUUGUAAAGCCCUGUCAGGAGUUAAGAAAUGUAAGUGUGCUAAUAUCACAUUUAUUUGACGAAGGCUCCAAAGGAAGCCACGGCUAACUCUGUGCCAGCAGCCGCGGUAAUACAGAGGUGGCAAGCGUUGUUCGGAAUUAUUGGGCGUAAAGAGCACGUAGGUGGGUUUGUAAGUCAGAUGUGAAAGCCUUCUGUUCAACGGAAGAAUUGCAUCUGAAACUGCGAGUCUUGAGUGUAGGAGGGGAGAAUGGAACUUCUGGUGGAGCGGUGAAAUGCGUAGAUAUCAGAAGGAACGCCGGCGGCGAAAGCGAUUCUCUGGCCUAUUACUGACACUCAGUGUGCGAAAGCUAGGGGAGCAAACGGGAUUAGAUACCCCGGUAGUCCUAGCUGUAAACGAU